Molecule: ribosomal RNA, 379 nt
Filed under: uncultured eukaryote
Lineage: Eukaryota
Description: partial 18S ribosomal RNA
Rfam family: Eukaryotic small subunit ribosomal RNA
Source: RNAcentral
CAAUAGCGUAUAUUUAAGUUGUUGCAGUUAAAAAGCUCGUAGUUGGAUUUCGGAUGGGAUUUGCCGGUCCGUCGUUACGCUGUGCACUGGCCAGUCCUAUCUUGUUGUCGGGGACUAGCUCCUUGGAUUCACUUCCUGGGACUAGGAGCUGACGAGGUUACUUUGAGUAAAUUAGAGUGUUCAAAGCAAGCCUACGCUCUGAAUACAUUAGCAUGGAAUAACACGAUAGGACUCUGGCUUAUCUUGUUGGUCUGUGAGACCAGAGUAAUGAUUAAGAGGGACAGUCGGGGACAUUCGUAUUUCAUUGUCAGAGGUGAAAUUCUUGGAUUUAUGAAAGACGAACUUCUGCGAAAGCAUUUGUCAAGGAUGUUUUCAUUAA